CACCCACUCCGAUUGGCUCGCAGACCCCGUCCGUCAAGUGCGAGGGGCGCAUUCUUUUCCCAUGGACUUGACGGAUCCGGAACCUCUAGGACCCCGGAGUCUGGAGAAACAAAUCAGAAACCGAGAGAAACCUGGCUGGGUCCCCCUACGCCGUAGCAACAGCAGGGCCUCCGCUUGACGGACGCUUCGGACCACCAAUCCGAUAGCCAAUGCUUUUUAAAACUAAAUUGAGCCAAACCAAUCAUGGCCGCAGCUCUGGGAGUUUCAAGAGAACCAAUGGGGUAGCGAGACCGGUGGGCAGGCGGGUCGGAGGGCCUGGAGGAAACGGGUGAUGACGUGAGCCACAAUGUGUUUCGGCGGCGGAAGUGUUUUCGAGCUGGGGAAUUAGCUCAAAUGGUAGAGCGCUCGCUUAGCAUGUGAGAGGUAGCGGGAUCGACGCCCGCAUUCUCCACGGUUGAAUUUUAUAAAGGUUGAGGGGUCGCCCGUUGGGGAUGGUCACUUUGUUCUCAAAGGCGGCGACAGUACCAGGAGUUACAGGGGCAAAGUGAGGGGCCAGGUGUCCCAAUUUGUGCGCCCAGCUCCGUGAGGGACUCGAAGUACAGAAAGGCGGGGGUUUUUGUUUUGCCUCGCGGAAGGAUUUACGCAAGAGCUUCUUAGAAUCUAGCGGGCACUUGGUCUGUGCCCAGCCUGCGGGGGUGCGCAGGGAGCAGACGGUCCCGGCUUUGACGUCUGUGGGAGACGUCAGACUCCACCUGGGCAACACCAGGUUUUGGUGUUUUGGCCGCGAGGCACGCGGUAUCUUAGCUCCCUGAGCUAAGGGAUCCAACCCGCGCCCCCUGCAGAGGAAGGUGAAGUCUUAACCACUGGACCACCGGGGAAGUUCCCCCGCCCCCCCACCCCACCCCAGCACUGUCCUGACGGGCAGCAGCGGCCCUGGGCCAGCGCGCACAGGUCAGACAGUAGCAAGGACCAGCCAGGAACAGCCCAAAGCCCAGGUAUGUAACCUGCAGAGCCCAAUGCGAAAUGAAAAUGCAGGGCCUCGGUCUUCAAAAUUAUUUAGAAUUUCGGGACGGCAACAGCAGAGCAUGAAAUCAAGCAUCAGGUCGUGCACGAGUCAGGCAUCCACGGAGCUGACCCGCCCGCAGGCCUCUGCCCAGAGGUCUCACCCCUCCCUGUGGGAGCCUGAUGGCAAGACGCCCAUGCCCAGGACAAGUGCACGACUCCGACAGCUGUCCAGGGAGGGCCAGAGGUCAGCGUUCACUCCGUGGGGACACUCAGCUCCAACACACACGGCAUGAAAGAAUGGCAAUGAUGUUUUAAAAAAUUAGGUUUAUAAAUAUUUUCUCCAUUGUACAAAGUUUUCCCCACCCUGCCCACCCCCC
Molecule: long non-coding RNA, 1382 nt
Organism: Orcinus orca (killer whale)
Lineage: Eukaryota; Metazoa; Chordata; Mammalia; Artiodactyla; Delphinidae
Exons: 2
Source: RefSeq, a predicted model, not a curated record